This 483-nucleotide ribosomal RNA is filed under the name uncultured bacterium. RNAcentral describes it as "partial 16S ribosomal RNA". It matches the Rfam family "Bacterial small subunit ribosomal RNA", at positions 28 to 507 of the family's 1533-position model. The record is from RNAcentral.
GACGAACGCUGGCGGCGUGCUUAACACAUGCAAGUCGAACGCUGAAGCUCAGCUUUUGUUGGGUGGAUGAGUGGCGAACGGGUGAGUAACACGUGAGUAACCUGCCCCCUUCUUUGGGAUAACGCCCGGAAACGGGUGCUAAUACUGUAUAUUCACUGGUCUUCGCAUGGGGGUUGGUGGAAAGGGUUUUUCUGGUGGGGGAUGGGCUCGCGGCCUAUCAGCUUGUUGGUGGGGUGAUGGGCUACCAAGGCUUUGACGGGUAGCCGGCCUGAGGGGGUGACCGGUAACAUUGGGACGGAGAUGCGGCCCAGACUCCUACGGGAGGCAGAAGUGGGGAAUAUGGCACAAUGGGCGCAAGCCUGAUGCAGCGACGCCGCGUGAGGGAUGGAGGCCUUCGGGUUGUGAACCUCUUUCGCUCAUGGUCAAGCCGCAACAAUGGUUGUGGUGAGGGUAGUGGGUAAAGAAGCGCCGGCUAACUACGUG